GGAGCCGUGCAAAUUCAUCCCCUCCUACAAUGCAAUCUCUCCGCUUCCUAAGACCCGUGUAAAAGAGAUUUCAGCAGAGUCCUGUCCCACACCUCCAGCUUCCGCUGUCCCAUCCUGCUGCCAGCACUGGCGAGGGAUCUACCGCUGUUAAUUCCUGUCACCAAUUUCUUCAUCUGCAGAGAAAACAUGUUCCACCUCCUGCUGUUCUGCGGCAAAAAGUGCAUUGCAGGCAGUGAGCUGCCAAUAUUACUUGCUGCUGUCGAUUGAAAAGGGUUGCACUCAUUAUACUGGGUUCAGACUGCGGAGUACUCAGCUAUCAUGUCUGACAUGAUUUAGAGCUACAGCAUGAAAUACAAUUUCCUUCAUUCUGGCUCAUUUUCUGCCUUAUCUUCAGUGGAAUUUGGACUACAGUGGCUUCCCAAACAGACAAGGUGCUGUGCAAACACUUCUUUCCUGAAAGAGCUUAUAUUCAGAAAGGCAGAAGACAGCGUGUAAGAAAGCAGCCUGCUGGACAAAUUCCCCAAAAUCAUGAAGGCUGUGUCACCCAUUAAUACACUGUUUUGUAUUAUUCAUGAGUCUUUUUAAUGUUUUCACUGGUCAAAGUUGUUCUUCUCCCUUACUCUUUGUGCACACCACUCUCCAGGACCCCCAACUAUGCAGUUGCUCAUCAUCAUUAUGCAGGGUUUUUUGCACACAAACAUGCUUACAUCAAAAUAGCAGUUCAUGGGACAUGGUCUUUCCUGAGAUCAGGAAGCAAAAGGGACAAACCAUCCAACUUUAAAAUAUAUUGUUCAUUUAAUGAUUGCUCAAAACACCAGAGCUUGGAAAUGUCCAACAUAUUGUAAGUGUCACAGGCCUAAAUAAGGUGGAACUGAUCAGAAAUAAAAUCUUGCAAAACAUACAGAAAGACGUUGGUAAGCAAUGGGGGAUUUCCCAUUACUCUGUCCAUCAAGAAGAGCAACUGG
Molecule: long non-coding RNA, 965 nt
Organism: Chroicocephalus ridibundus (black-headed gull)
Lineage: Eukaryota; Metazoa; Chordata; Aves; Charadriiformes; Laridae
Exons: 3
Source: RefSeq, a predicted model, not a curated record